CCCGGGCCUUGUACACACCGCCCGUCACACCACGAAAGUCCGCUGUACCAGAAAUCGCCGGAGCUAACCCGUAAGGGAGGCAGGCGCCCAAGGUAUGGUUGGUAAUUGGGGUG
RNAcentral lists this ribosomal RNA (113 nucleotides) under uncultured bacterium. Its description in RNAcentral is "partial 16S ribosomal RNA". It matches the Rfam family "Bacterial small subunit ribosomal RNA", at positions 1373 to 1482 of the family's 1533-position model. The record is from RNAcentral.